This 439-nucleotide ribosomal RNA is filed under the name uncultured bacterium. Its description in RNAcentral is "bacterial SSU rRNA". It matches the Rfam family "Bacterial small subunit ribosomal RNA", at positions 949 to 1388 of the family's 1533-position model. The record is from RNAcentral.
AUUCGAUGCAACGCGAAGAACCUUACCUACUCUUGACAUCCAUGGAAUCUUGUAGAGAUAUGAGAGUGCCUUCGGGAACCAUGAGACAGGUGCUGCAUGGCUGUCGUCAGCUCGUGUUGUGAAAUGUUGGGUUAAGUCCCGCAACGAGCGCAACCCUUAUCCUUUGUUGCCAGCGAUUUGGUCGGGAACUCAAAGGAGACUGCCGGUGAUAAACCGGAGGAAGGUAGGGAUGACGUCAAGUCAUCAUGGCCCUUACGAGUAGGGCUACACACGUGCUACAAUGGCGUAUACAGAGGGAAGCGAUAGUGCGAGCUGGAGCGAAUCUCACAAAGUACGUCUAAGUCCGGAUUGGAGUCUGCAACUCGACUCCAUGAAGUCGGAAUCGCUAGUAAUCGCAAAUCAGAAUGUUGCGGUGAAUACGUUCCCGGGCCUAGUACAC